Molecule: long non-coding RNA, 3805 nt
Organism: Onychomys torridus (southern grasshopper mouse)
Lineage: Eukaryota; Metazoa; Chordata; Mammalia; Rodentia; Cricetidae
Exons: 3
Source: RefSeq, a predicted model, not a curated record
UCUCUUUCUCCCUUGCUCUUACUCUUUCUCCCUCCCCCCACAAGACUUGGAGAAUGGAUCACAGAAUACUACGGCCGGGAACACAGACUUCCUAUCUGUGAUGAGAGGUUCAGCCUCCCAGGUGCCGUGGGUACUCUUAGGGAUGGGGAUCCUUCACUCGGCAGCAGUGCGAGGACACGCCAUGUCCCACGCUCACCCUUUGAGAUGCCAAGGUACCUGGCUUUCCUAUUGCAGUCACAGCACCUUAAGGACAUGGAGGCGCAGCGGGGAACAUAGGGGUCUGGCAGCCAAGGGCAAGACGCCGGCACUAGGCUCCCUCGAGAUCUGGGCGGGGCAGCCGAGUCGGCAGCGCGCGGCCGGGGCUGAUAGGAACGCGCACCGCCUCCAGGAGUUCGCGGCCCUGUGUGCUCCAGCCCCAGAACCAGAGUCGCACGAACUCAGUGGGAUGCGGUGCUCUGAGAGGAUCCCAAAAGCCACGAGGCGCCUGGCACAUCGCAAGACGCGGCUCAGCACCAUCCUCCUGUCACACCCACUUGUUUUUCUCGCUUUCGAUGGUUCCGAGCCACAAGCAGGUCCAAGUGGCACCGACCCCUUGGCGGUCAAUUCGGACUAAUGGCUGGCUGGAGAGGGCCAGGGCCCAGGUCAGAUGCAAGCCAGAGCAGGACGCGCUACCCCUGCAGGCAGCCAGCUUGGUUUUCCACAAGCAUCAAGAGACGUGGAAAUCUGUAUGGACCACAGGUCCAGUAUGAUGGUUGGAAAACAGCUCCUUCCUGGAAUUGCUUUGGAAUUAAAAGUAGAACAACCAUUGAGGAAAUAGGCUCCAGUUGAUUGAAUGAACAGCCACAGUCCAGCAAGCUUGCCUUCCUGUGGGGAGUCUACAAAGGAGUCACUAUGAAGUGGCUUUUCUGAUAUUCUAUUGCAGGUAAGUUUACAAAUAUUUAGAUCAAAUGAAAAUAAGAAUUCAGGUGUGGGGGUGGCUUCUCUGACAAAAUGAGAAAGUCUCAGGCUUAGCUGUCACCUCAAAAAAUUUAGUGACAGUAAUUCAAAACUCCAUAAAAAUCCACAAAGUUACUUGAUAUAAUGGUGAACUGAAUAAUAUUUUAAAUACUCCAUCAGCUCUCCUUUAUGGUUACAACAGGAUUGAUGGUGUUUCAGGAGGUAUGGUUCUCAUCAACAUAGGGUCCCACGGGAACUUCAGAGUGCUGGGGACAUCUUCACCACUGUCCACUAUUAUCUGUAGCAAGUUACACCCUUAUUCAACACUGCUCAGUCCUUCUGAAAUUCCUGUUUAGAUUUAUCCUCAGAAAUCUAAUUUAAUAUUUUAAAACUAAUUUUUACUUCUGACUGCCCCAAAUUCUACGGCCUAAUCACCCGUUUCUCUGUCCUCAUCUCCAGUGGCUUUUGAAUAUUUAAAAGAUAAAUCUUUAAAGAAAGAUUGCUUCUUUCUUUUAAAUAAGACUGCUAUUAUUUUAAUAAGCCAUUUCAAAAGAUUCAUGCCGAGUAUGGCAUGCCUAGCUCAUUAGGAAGUGACUCGCUCCUCUGGGUGUCUUUUGGCUGUGGAAGAAGACCCUCACCUGCUGUCCAAGCAUGGUCACAAUUCUCUUUUUUCUUCUCCAUGACCAAGUCCUGUUACUUUUUCAGGGUAGCACCCAGUCUGACCUUACUUCCUAUCCCUUCUAAGUUGAAGAUGGCAGCCCAGGCAGUGCAGAUUAAUCUCCACUGCCCUCUACCCAGUGGAAUGCUCAAUCCAUUUGACUAGCUCAUGUCUCUCAAUAAGACCUCUACUAUCUCUUCCUCAGACCUAGCAGUGUGGCUCCUUUCAUCCAAGCACCUGGGUGCACACAGCAGAUAAUCCUGGAACAACCAAGUCAACUGCUCUUCACAAGAGCACAGGUCAGCUGGAAGUUGGUAUCACUUGUAACCACCCUUUCUUGCAGCCAUCUUUCACCUACUUGGCCUCUGGUGUGGAAUCCCUUGGCUUUAUUAAAAUGUACAGAUUUCUUGUCAUUUUACAUACAUAUGGCUGUGGUCUCACUUUCUGUGGUUUGUUAUCUAUAAUAAAUUGUAGACCAGAAGUAUUAAAAAUGGAAAAUUCCAGAAAUAAAAACAAUUCAUAAGUUUAAAAUGACAUAUUGGAGAAAUGCACUGGUACUGCCCUAGAUAUAGUUCAGUUGUCCAGUGUUUCCAAGCUGUAUAUGCUACACUCCAUCAGGCACUUAGUUCAGUUAAUAUCUACUUUCAUUCAAGUAAGUCUUAUUUACUUUAGUAAUGGCCCCAAAGCACUAUGAUGGCAAUUUAGAUGUGUCAAUGGAAAGCCAUAAAAUGCCUCAAUUGAAAAGCUGAACAUUAUUAAUAUAAUAAGGAAUAAUAUCAUAUAAUAACAUCAUAUGCUGAGGUUGCUAAAAUCUAUGGUAAGAACACAGUACAAAGUGCACCAGAGUUCUGCACUGUCCCUGGCUGAAGCAUCCACUGAGGGCACUAGAAGAUGUCAUCAGUAGGUAAUGUUGGAUACAGACUACCUCACCCUCACAAACAUACAUAAUAUGCCACACAAAGCAUUCAACAAACACAUAGCUUAAGCAUGUGCUUAUACAACAUGUAUACCAUCUCCCAUGCACACUAUCCUAUAUAGUUCACACACAUGCUCACAUUAAUCCCCACACAACCACUUCAUCUGCUACACACAUACACGCAUACUUUACAUAAUAGUGGUACUAAUCCCCUGCCUCACAUAUAUGCAUAUGCAGCUCACAUGCACACAAUAACCCAUAUGCAUACUAACUCAUAUACAUGCUCACACAGCUCAUAUGUAUGCCCAUACUUUUUACAUAUAUGCACAUAGCUGACACAUGAUAUAACCCAUCCAUACUACCUCACAUGCAUUCUCCCACUAUGCACAUACAUACACAGUACCUCACAUGCAUGUUCAUGCAGCUCACAGAUAUGCUCACAGAUGCACACAUAGCAUAAUACCCACAUAUACAAAUAUAUUCAUACUAACACAGUUGCUGACCACCUCACAUAUAUGCACACAUUUAUAUACUUUAUAUACAUACUCAUGCAGUUUACUCACAGUCUUACACAGCAACACGCAUACAUGUUCUUUAGUUACCCAUGAACUGUUGAGCCUUUGCACAUGUGGAAGUUGGUGGGCAUUGGCUUGUAUCCCCUAUCUGCUAUUCUAGAUUUCAUUGUUUUCUCUCUCCCAGGACCCAUGUGAUUUGUGCAUUUCUAUUCCAGUUAUAUGGCUGAGGAAACUGCUAUGAAAUAAAUUAAAACUUGCAAAUGGAUCAUCACUGGCUCCUUGGUAAACACACACUCUUCCCACACAUUUACCAGGGAGGAUCUCUGCUUUAGCCAUACUCUCCAGGCAACACCAGGUGAACAGUGUGGAGCUCUGAAGAAGGCCAUGGGCUUCCUGGUCUCCACUGGGUCCUGCAAGCCUCUCCUCAUUGUCACAAUAACAGGUGUUACUUAAAAAUAACUCAAUAGCCACAGUUGUCUGGGAAUAAGAUAGCAACUUCCUUCCUAACAUUCUGUGUGAUAUACAAGGGUCCUCGGAUGUUCAUGCUGACCCAAAACAUCAGCCGUCUGUGUCUUUCCUCAGCCUUAUUACCACCGCCCCAUGUUUCUGUGCUCGGUUCUGGAGCACACAGUGCAGAUUUUGUCCUGUGCUGUGAUGCAUGUUUUAUGUGAGAAAGUUCUGGAUCCAGGUAUGGCCACAUAGUUAUAAGGAAUGAUGACUUUGCCGGGAGAUGAUGGCAUGUUUGAAAGGUGCUGUGGUGUGAGCCUUUUGUAGCAUAAA